CCUACGGGUGGCAGCAGUGGGGAAUAUUGGUCAAUGGACGCGAGUCUGAACCAGCAAAGUAGCGUGCAGGAAGACGGCUCUAUGAGUUGUAAACUGCUUUUGUACAGGGGUAAACCUGAAUACGUGUAUUCAGCUGAAAGUACUGUACGAAUAAGGAUCGGCUAACUCCGUGCCAGCAGCCGCGGUAAUACGGAGGAUCCAAGCGUUAUCCGGAUUUAUUGGGUUUAAAGGGUGCGUAGGCGGAUUGAUAAGUUAGAUGUGAAAUGUCCGAGCUUAACUCUGGACCUGCCUCUAAUACUGUUGAUCUAGAGAGUAGAUGCGGUAGGCGGAAUGUAUGGUGUAGCGGUGAAAUGCUUAGAGAUCAUAAAGAACACCGAUUGCGAAGGCAGCUUACCAAUCUAUAUCUGACGUUGAGGCACGAAAGCGUGGGGAGCAAACAGGAUUAGAUACCCGUGUAGUC
RNAcentral lists this ribosomal RNA (460 nucleotides) under uncultured bacterium. RNAcentral's name for it is "partial 16S ribosomal RNA". It matches the Rfam family "Bacterial small subunit ribosomal RNA", at positions 338 to 795 of the family's 1533-position model. The record is from RNAcentral.